GACAAUGCCAUGUGGCAAAAGCUUUGUCGGGUAUGGGCACAAGCUUUUUUAAGACACAGGAGAAGAAUACGUUCUCUAGACUUAAACAUCCUAGGGGUUUUCCAGAGGAGGUAGUCCUUGAAAUGAAUCUUCUUGGAUGAGAGGGCUAAUUGUCCAGGUAAAGGAGGGCGGGUGUUCUAGACCUGUAUCACCUGGUGGCAUGCACAUGAGAAACAGCAAGGUACGAGUGGUCAUGACAAGGAGUUAAGGAUGGUGGAAGCCAAGGGGAUUGGGGAGGAGGAGAGGUGUUGAGGAUGAUGGUAGACAGGUGAGAUAGAAGUCAAAUUCAUGAAGCGCUUAGAGUCCGUGUUAAUUAAUCUGUGUGAUUCUGGACUUAUGCACAGAAAGUGACUCAGUCUAAUUUAGGCAGGAAGGAAACCAGCUUAAAAACACUGGAUGCUGAGGACUGGAGUGCCACCAGGGACCUCCAUUCUGCUGUUCUCUGCAUGGGUUUUUAUUGCCCUUAUUCUGCAGAAUUGCUCAUCUCCUUUCCCAAUGCACGUGAUAGACACAUAGGGUAAGACCAUCAGCCAAGACCUUAUAUUUUACAGAUAGAACCACCUGGAAAGACUGAGUACCUCUCUCUGUUCAUUUAUACAUCCUCUCUGAAAGGAAAUAGGUUUGGUAAGUCUGAGCCUCGCACUUACCCUUGUACCACUUUGUGACUAGAAGGCAAGUUGCGUUCCAUGAACGUCGUUUCUGUGACCAUGAGAUGGCAGGGGAGUGGUUGCAUUGGAACGUCCCAAUUGGAAUUUUACAAAAUACACCUAUUAUCUAAGUGGGCUUCAAGUGACAGUACACUGUCAUGAUAACGUCUGGAGUUUUGGAAACAUGCAACAGUGUAUAUCUGGGGUGUGCCUGCUUAACGUUCUGAGUCAGUAGAUCUGAGGUGGGAUCUGUGGGCUGGCAUUUAAAAAGUUCAGUAAUUGAUUCUAAUGCCCAGCUAGAGCGGGAACCAUUUUAAGGAAAGUUUAUCUUAUCUCAAACAAGAGAGGAAACCUCAGGAGGUAGAAGGAAAGGCCAUCACAGGACACCCGCUCGGGCAAGUAGUUUGGAAAGGAGAAGGUGAGGAUGUGGUGACUUUUUAGGAGUCAGUUAUGUUCAUCCAGGAGGGAUGAGAGCUCUCAUCUAAGGCAGGAGCCAUGCAGUAGAGAGGAGGGUGCUCAGAAGGUAGAACUGGCAGCUUCUUGUCAUCAGUUAUAUCUGGGGGGCAAGGAAUGCGUCUAGAACAAUCCCAUAUUUUGGGCAUGGGAGGUGAGGUAAAUUAGGUGAUAGAGGAGGAGAAAUGGGACUCAGGAUGGAAGAUGAUGAGCUGAAUGUUGACAUUUUGUAUUUGAAACGCCUCCAGGUCUCCAGUUGUGCAAGGCCAGGGGGCAGUUGUGUAUAUGGGAGUUCUGAGCUAAAGAUGGCGCUUUUGUAAUCAUUGUUUGCAAGUGACAGAUGAAGACUCUGUGUGCAGAUUUCCUAGGGUGGAUAUAACGGAGGACAGUAAUCCUAUGAAUUUGGGGCAUGUAAAAAAUUAAAGGGCAGGUGAGAAGGUUGGGAAGGAGAUUCAUCAAUAGAAGGAGAAUCUACAUCAGGAGAGACUGGCAUCCUUAAAAAGUAGGGAGAGAUUUUAAAGAAGACAGGAUUAGCCAUAUGGAAUUAGCCAAAUUUUCCGGGUCGAAAAUGUCCACUGGGUCUGGCUAGUAACAAGUCAACUAUGACCUUGACAGCAGUUUUAUUCUUUCAUGUUAUUUUCGCACAUCUUUCGUCUCUUUCUGAUGGUAAACUUCAUUCAUGCAUUCAUUGGAUAAACAUUCUGUAGGCAGGGCUAGACGUCCUGAAAUACAUAAUUUUUAAAAUACAUUUAUUUAUUUUUAUUUUAUCUAUUUUAUUUUUGGCCGCGUUGGGUCUUCGUUGAUGCGCGGGCUUUCUCUAGUUGUGGCGAGCGGGGGCUACUCUUUGUUGCGAUGCGUGGGUUUCUCAUUGCGGUGGCUUCUCUUGUUGUGGAGCACGGGCUCUAGGCACACGGGCUCAGUAGUCGUGGCGCAUGGGCUUAGUUGCUCUGCGGCGUGUGGGAUCUUCCUGGACUGGGGCUCGAACCCGUGUCCCCUGCGUUGGCAGGCAGAUUCUUAACCACUGCGCCACCAGGGAAGUCCCCCGAGUUUAUUUUUGAAUGCCUCAUCUCUCAUCUGCGUUCGCCCUGCUACUGUGGUAGGUCAGACUCCUAUUUCUUCCCUGCCUUAUUGAGACCAGCAGAUCCCCCAUCCUCCGGGCCUCCUUCUGGGUCUUUAAGCCGAUGCUUCCACCAUUGGUGACUCCAUGUCAACUGUAGGUGACCAUCUAAGCAACUUAGCCAGUCGUGCAGCACCUUUUCUCGUACCAUUUGCCAGGCACUGAGCCAGGUCCUGUGAUAACAGUGCCCUGCUCUAAUGGGGUUCACUUCCAGGGUGGGCGACAAAAAUGGAACUCGGAAUUGAGAGUCCAGCGAGUAAAAGCAGUGCCUGGAGGGUUGGGGUAGUAUGGCUGUGAAUCUUGGUUCGUCCGGGGCACGUGGUGGCAUUGGGUGCCAGCCAGGGAGGCUUCUCAGAGGAAACCACAUCUAGGCUGAGGCCCGCAGGGGCGAGGGGAGUCGGGCAGGUACAAGUCAAGGGAGGAGAAUGGUGCUCGCCAAGGCCCUGGGCGUGAGGAAAUGGGGGUGUGGGUGGAGCCACCGGCCAGGGGGUCCAAGGCUACAAGAUGAUCCUCGUUGGACCUCGGCAGGCGCCGUAUCACGGAAGACCUCGCAGGACCGCAUCCGGGAAUUUGGGCUUUCUCUUGUGCUUGGUAAGGCGACUCUGACUUCUCUGAGGGCAGUGGAUUGGGUGAGACCAAGAGUCAAGGCAGGAAAUGCAGCCACCUAACUGGCCUCAUGUGCUCCUGUCUCCUGGGCCCACUGCCCCGCAUCUUCCACGCCCAGCACAGCGCUCAGCAGCCUGGUCCAGACAGUGACGUAACACGUGAUGCUUCCCUAAAAGGAGUUGAUGCUGUUGACUCUUGACCUCCGCUGCGUGGGUUCCUCCACGGGAAACGCCCCUCUCCUUUGGCACUGCAGACUACUAUCCACCCUUUAGGAGGCUCUCAAAUCCCACUUCCUGUUUCCUCUAAUCAUUACGGCAGACACGUGAGGCAGCUGUUUUAUCUCCACUUUAC
Molecule: long non-coding RNA, 3213 nt
Filed under: Phocoena sinus (vaquita)
Lineage: Eukaryota; Metazoa; Chordata; Mammalia; Artiodactyla; Phocoenidae
Description: lncRNA (ENSPSNG00000003268.1)
Source: RNAcentral